AUGGCAAGCCACAGAAAGAGGAUCUGCCCUAGUCAAUAAGCCCCAUAAAGCUAAGAGCAGAGAGGCUGGGUUGAUCCAGAAAAAAAAGUGACUGAGGCAUGGCCAGCAGAUAAUGAGCCUUCCUGCAUUUUGCUCGUUCCAUUUCACAUCAAACAUAGGGAUUUGGAGACCAGAUCUGGUCAUUCAUAAAGCAAAUUCUUCUAGACCCCAUGGUGACACUGGGUGGAAAGUUAAAGGAAUCCAGCUCCUAGGUUUACACAAUGAAAGAAUACAUCAGAUGUCAGAGGCUUUAUGGAUUGAUUCUCAUGUUGAGCUUUAUCUUUCUCUCAGGUAAGAAAAUGGAUUCUUACGCUUUUUUUCAAUGUCUCAUAUGCCAUAGUUAGAAAUAAACCAUUUGAAAGGUUGUGAGGCUGUCUCUCUACAGCUUCCUUUUGAUCAUCAAUAUGACUGUAGGACAGGUUGAAACUUUAGUCAGUGAAUCCAUUCACUCAGGAUUGUGUUAAGUCUUUUAUUUAUUUAUUUAUUUAUUUAUUUAUUUAUUUAUUUAUCAUUUAUUUAUUUAUUUAUUCAUGAGGGACACAGAGAGAGAGAGAGAGAGAGAGGCAGAGACACAGGCAGAGGGAGAAGCAGGCUCCAUGCAGGGAGUCUGAUGCGGGACUCCAUCCUGGGACUUCAGGAUCACGCCCUGGGCCGAAGGCAGGCGCCAAACCGCUGAGCCACCCAGGGAUCCCCAGGAUUGUUGAAGUUUGAUAGAAAAUUGGCCUCAAGUAAACAGUAGUUUGGACUAUUGUCUUUGACAUUUGUUUGUUUCUUUUUUAAAAAAGAUUUAUUUAUUCAUAAGAGACACACAGAGAGAGGCAGAGACAUAGGCAGAGGGAGAAGCAGGCUCCUCACUGGGAGCCUGAUGCAGGACUUGAUCCCGAAUCCUGGGAUCACGCACUGAGCCAAAGGCAGACGCUCAACUGCUGAAACACCCAGGUGUCCCUCUUUCUUUCUUUCUUUCUUUCUUUCUUUCUUUCUUUCUUUCUUUCUUUCUUUCUUCUUUCUUCUUUUUAAAACUAAGUAGACUCCACAUCCAACAUGGGGCUUGAACUCAGAACUGUGAGAUCAAGAGUUGCAUGCUCCACUAACUGACCUAGCCAAGCUCUGUUCUUAACAUUUCUUUUUCUUUUUUAAGAUUUUAUUUAUUUAUUUAUUUAUUUAUUUAUUUAUUUAUUU
This 1218-nucleotide long non-coding RNA is filed under the name Canis lupus familiaris (dog). RNAcentral describes it as "lncRNA (ENSCAFG00040024360.1)". Lineage: Eukaryota; Metazoa; Chordata; Mammalia; Carnivora; Canidae. The record is from RNAcentral.